This is a non-coding RNA of Stegostoma tigrinum, 82 nucleotides long. The record is from the annotation of a RefSeq genome assembly. Lineage: Eukaryota; Metazoa; Chordata; Chondrichthyes; Orectolobiformes; Stegostomatidae.
GACGAGAUGGCCGAGAAGUUAAGGCGAUGGACUGCUAAUCCAUUAUGGUCUGCAUGCGUGGGUUUGAGUCCCACUCUCGUCG